This 281-nucleotide long non-coding RNA is filed under the name Trifolium pratense (red clover). Its description in RNAcentral is "long non-coding RNA (TPRA_LNC000378)". Lineage: Eukaryota; Viridiplantae; Streptophyta; Magnoliopsida; Fabales; Fabaceae. The record is from RNAcentral.
AAAUAAACCCUUAGAUGGAGGAGUAGUUAGGUAGAAAAAUCUCAAAAUUUUGACAAUAAAAUAGUUAGAAGAAACAACAACCCUAGACAAAAUUUGAAUCCUUCAAUUGAAAAAUUGAAAUAAUAUAUAUUCCCUUUCCUCCCUUUCUUUUCUUCCCAAACUCUUUCUUCCCAAUUUCCCUCAGAUCUUCAUCUUCUUCGUGAAUGGUAGAAACCCUUUUCCUCUUCGAUUUCAUGCGCUCCCUUUCACCUUCAACAACGGCGAGCGCUCUUCUUUUCUNN